AAGUUUACAAGCUCUCACCAUUCUUCUUCUCAUUUAAGCCAAUAUUUCAUUCAAAGUUCAAAAGGAUUGGAAUUGGAAGAAUGAGCUGGAUGCAUCAAAGGAGGAGAUAGAAAGGAAGGUCGCCUUCAUGUUAGAACUGGCACCUGUUCUAGAGUGUACAAAAUUUCCAGUACUAACUGGCCAGUCCGUUCUAUCCAAUCUGUGACAAGGAUGCAAUUGGUUCUCACUCUACAUUCUAGGAAAUUAAAUUCAGAAUAUGAGGUCAGCCUUUGCUCCAAAUCCAAUACUUUACUCUUAGACUCAUCCUGUCUUAUUAGAGACAACUUGAUUUGCUUCAUUGUUAUCAGGAAAUGAAGCUAGCUCCAAGUAGAAACCCAAUUGAAAUGUCAAUUUGGAUAUAAUGCUAUCUAUGGUCCCCUUGAAGAAGGGUAUGACCACAGCAUCCUUGUGGUACCUAUUAACUAUUGCUAUUAAGAUGUCAGAUCCAUGGUGAUCUGAUCAUCUCUUAUGGUCAAACUCAAACUCUCUAUUUUGCGGUGGUAUUUUCAUAAUUUCUUCAUAUGUUAUGGUGUUUCAAAUAAUUUUUGCACCUUUACUUGGCUAGGACAUUUAGUGAAGCAUCAAAGGGAUAUGGAUUGUGCCUUGGAACCAUGAAAGAUUCCACUAAGGCUCUGAUUCUGUCAUAUUUAGAUCUCUCCCUCUUCGACUAUGACAUAUCAGAAACCACUGAAGAAUGGAAAAAAACACAUUACACGGGGAUAAAAUCAUGUGCAGGUGCAGCUACAUCUUGAACUAGGUCCCUUAAUAACUGCAAAUCACUUCCAAUCUUCCUUUCACAUUAAAUAAGAGAUUGAGAUUAACCAGUCAUUUGGUUGCAACCAUGAACAUGGACACAGUUCCCUCCCAUGAUGCCGCUCUUGUCCCGUCAACUGCCAGACAAAUGAGCUUCCACAAUUUGUCAGAAAACAACAUCAUGUAGAAAGGAUUGUCCCUUGUCUUCACCAAAAAACAAAACCUAUAGCUAUAUAUCCUAUGAUUUUAAUGUGACUCCAUGACUAAUGAAUACAUGUCAUAGGCAAUGGGGAAAUGUUCAAAUUGUGCAUGAUAAAGUUUUGGCGACAUGGUUGUCCAAGGUAUAAUUGUGAUGAUGUAAUACUUCUAGAAUACCUUUCUUUGUUGUUUAACAUCUUUGCAAAUCCAGUUAAUAACAAUAUGUAUCCUGAAUAUAUAUAUAUAUAUAUAUAUAGGUAUAUAUGUCUUAGAUCUGUAAUAUGCACAUUGAAUAGGAUUUAAAUGAGUAAUUCCAUUAAUUCAGUUGAUAACUCCCCCCAAAACUCUUAGAACCACAAAAAAUUAAUUUCUAUGAAUUGUAAGAAAUGAUGAAAAGGAACUUAACAUUUGAUAGCUUGGAAAGAAUUUUCUCUGGUGAACCGUUUGUUAUUAUCGGAGAGAAAAAAAAUAUUUUUUUGAUGGAUUGGAUUGGCUAUCCUGGAAGUCUGUAGGGCAAUGAGAAUCUAAAUUAAUGCAUGUCUGGUAUAUGUGAGUGCAUCUGCACAUGGAAUAGUCGGGUUGUACGAACAAUGUUUCAAGAUCCCCUCCUAACAUCACCACAUGCAUAGCUAGCUAGGCUACUAUUCUGCCCCUAGUUGGAAGACUUAUGCACGACCAGCCUUAUGCCAAUCGACAGGUAGAAUAAUAAGCUGAUAGAAUCUCUGGAACCAUCCUCAGCAUUAGAAGAUAAGUCAUGACUGCUUUUAAUUUGAACCUAUGUCAUGCUGAGCGAGUAGCAUUUCUUUUUUUUGAAAAUCACAUUGUCUGAUAACAUUCUGUUUUCUUGCUCAUAGUUAUGUGAAAUUUGUUAUUCUUCAUCACUAACUCUUCAGCAAAGUUGCUAUCAAAGUUAACAUUUUGAGAAGAUUUGACACACACUAGGUUCUUUAAUCAACUCCAAUGUUCGGGUUGCCAAUAUUGAUGUUUGAAGGCCUAAUUAUAGCCUGCCACAUUUAUUUUUUCUGGUUGUGGAUUGAUGUUUUUAGCCUAAUUAAUAAAUCAUGGUCCAAGACACAAGUCUAGGUGCAUGUUUGAGGAAGCACUUUGUCUCUAAGCCUUUUCUAAUUUUGGAAUUUAACUAUUUUUACAAAGAUGUGAAGAGAAUUUAUUAGUAGAAAAUCUCAUGAUAAUAGGCUUAAACCUUGAAGAAUUUCUUAGGUAUAAAAAGUUUUUCAACAAAUCAUACUGUAAACCAAGUAUAUUCUAAUCACCUUGGACACUUUAAAUUGCGUAGGCUACUCCAUAGAUAAGAAAAGAUCCGCAUAACAUGCUAACUAUAGAAAGAAAGAGAUAAGAGAUGUGAUUUAUGGUGACCAAAAAAAAUGGGAUGUGUGCUAUCGAAGUGUAGCUUAUGUGCAUACUUAAGGAGUAGCAAGCUUUUGAUCGAUGACAAAGACUUUGUUUUGAUGUCAUAUUUACUUAUAGCCAAGAACAAUUAUAUAAUUAUUCUUGAUUCUUUCAAGACUUAUUGAUACUAAUUAAUGACUCCGAUAAUGUUUCCGACGAAGUUUAGUUUCUUUUUCUUUUUCUUUUUUUAUCUUUUUUGCAAAGGAAAAAGAAAAGGAAAAGAAAGGAUAAAGAAACUGAAGCAAAGAAAAGGAGUAUUAAUUCUCAAGCUUUUUAAGGCAAGGAAGCCUAAGCUAGCUGUUGUAACUUGUAUAUAUAUGGUUUAGCUUGCAACACAAAUUUUAACUGUUAGGCCCCUCAAUUGGCAAUUGAGCAUGUUUUCAGAUAUAUAGCCCUGUAAUUUGUAAUCUCUUCAUCGUUUCAGGAGCAUCAUAAACAAGAAAUCAUCUCUAUCAGAUAGUGAUUUUUCAUUAAUUCAUAUAUAUAUAUAUAUAUAUACAUACACACACACACACACACACACACACACAUACAUACAUAUAUUCCUUGUUGUUCAUGCUGUUGCAUGUUAUGAGGGCCCAUUUUGCAAUAAAUAUGCAUUCCAUGCUGAUUAUUACUAGGGGAUUUGUAUUGUUUCUGGAAAACUAUAUUCAAAAGAUAGAAAACAUGCUAUCCAAGUUGCAGAUCAGAACACUCACACAACCUCCCCCUUCUUUCUAUCAUAUAUACAGCAUAAUUUGGAAAGCAUCACAACAUGGCUAGGGUUUUAGUUAAACUUCCAAACUAUCAACAGAGGAAACACAAUUGACUCCAAUGACCAAUCAAAUACAUAUAUAUAUAAAAAAAUGCAAUAUGACUAAAACAAAUCUAGGUCCUAUUGUACAAUAUCUUUAGUUAACAUAAAGUGUUUAAAGACACAUUUUCUUCUCACAAUUUAUGUGGAUCAAUAGGCUAUGCCUUUUUUACUUCAAAGACUUUGGAUACCUUUUCCUCAUUUUUACGGUUUAGUAGUUUUUCAUCUUAAUCCUCUUGUACAUUGUUUGGUCGCAAUGGACUGCUUGCUGUCCGUGUGGUUUGAUUAAUUUGUGGUCGAUACAGUGCUGCCAUCUUUUUGUAGAGGUCCAUAUCCAUGGACUGCAGCCAAAAAAUCAGUAUUAAUGUAUAUCAAGCAAUGUUUUGUAUCAGAAAGAUGGAGAAAAAUAAUGCCAUCACUGAGGAAUAUGCCAUUAAUUGGUUUGCUGUAAAAGUUAUAAUUUUUGGUUGAAAACUAAAAAUGAUAUUUGAUUGUUUUGAUUAGGAAAACUCAAUGUAGAAAUUAUCAAACAUUGUUGGUUUUGGUGAGAAACCUUAAGGUAGAAACCAUUUUUGCUUGAAUCAAUUUUCAGUGUAGUUGCUUGACUUGCUUCCAAUGGAUCAUUAAUGUGAAUUUGACAGACAUACUUGAGCUAGGAAAGCACAAUACGGAUCAGGCAAAGGGACUGAAGCAUUGGAGCCAGCAUUUGAAUUCAGUUGAGCUGCCGCAUGUGUUGGAAUCGUAGGCGCUGCCAC
RNAcentral lists this long non-coding RNA (3945 nucleotides) under Durio zibethinus. RNAcentral's name for it is "long non-coding RNA (DZIB_LNC002148)". Lineage: Eukaryota; Viridiplantae; Streptophyta; Magnoliopsida; Malvales; Malvaceae. The record is from RNAcentral.